AGCGGCGGACGGGUGAGUAACGCGUGGGUAACCUGCCUCAUACAGGGGGAUAACAGUUGGAAACGGCUGCUAAUACCGCAUAAGCGCACAGUACCGCAUGGUACGGUGUGAAAAACUCCGGUGGUAUGAGAUGGACCCGCGUCUGAUUAGGUAGUUGGUGGGGUAACGGCCUACCAAGCCGACGAUCAGUAGCCGACCUGGGAGGGUGACCGGCCACAUUGGGACUGAGACACGGCCCAA
This 240-nucleotide ribosomal RNA is filed under the name uncultured bacterium. RNAcentral describes it as "partial 16S ribosomal RNA". It matches the Rfam family "Bacterial small subunit ribosomal RNA", at positions 94 to 334 of the family's 1533-position model. The record is from RNAcentral.